CAAGGGGUACCAAAAGUUUCUCAUUGGUGGGGGGUGGAGACGGAGCGUUUUUUGACAGCGAAUUGUUCGUCUACCAUGCCUACGAUUACGAUUGCCUGUCACAAGAUGGACGAUUCCGUGCAUUGGUAUAAGAACACACCUGAAGCUUUACCCGCCUUGCUUUUAAUAUGUGCUUCGUUUGAGUGUAUUUUAUUUUGUUUUCGAGUCAUCCCGCCGCGAAUUGGAACACGAAAUUGAAAAUCGCGGAUCAAAUGGUAGUUUUUCGGUCGUUUCGGUCAACUAUUGAUGGGCAAGUUCUUCAACGCGGACAAGGCCUUCCCGCAGGCCGUAGGCCGCAGGUUUAUAGAACAUUUACGAAUCGACGUACAGGGAGCCAGUGGACAGCACAUAAGUCUGGCAGGAAAAUGCAUUUUUAAGUUUCCCGUCCGAGGAAACCUCCAUCGACAUUCCGGGCACAAUGAGCCAACGUCGGAGGACAUUGGAACAUGUACUCUGGAGAUGGGACGAAAGAUGCCGUUUCGUUAACUAACCGGCACUGGAAACGGGCGCAUUAUCAGGUGGCAUCGGUCGGCCCGAGAAAUGCAUUCAUUAAGGAAAGCUCUAUUCGAUGCAAAUUAAGUCCCCCUGACCGAAGGAACACCUGUUUAUUGGAGGCUCGCUGUCUGGAUUGUUGCCCUCUAGAGAAAAACAUCGCAAAUCGAUAUAAAAAAAAACAAUUUUUGAUGAAACAUCAAGGGCUGAAUCGGUUUGGCGUGCUAAACACCAUCAUGAAGAAAAGUGAUUUGAUUAUUCAUUGAAAAAAUAAAAACAAAAUUGUUUGAAAAUGAAUAUUUUUCGUAAGCUUUCCAAAAUAUCAUAAAAUGCGAUAACAAUACCAUGCAA
Molecule: long non-coding RNA, 882 nt
Organism: Uranotaenia lowii
Lineage: Eukaryota; Metazoa; Arthropoda; Insecta; Diptera; Culicidae
Exons: 4
Source: RefSeq, a predicted model, not a curated record